AUCAGACGGAUGAAUUGGUUCUAAUGCGCCAGGAAUAUGAACUUUUGACGAACCCUCUGAGUUUGGUAAGAAGACGCCUUGCAGAAACAAAUAAGUCAUCAACAACCGAAUGAAGUAAAGAGCUGUCCGUAAAUGAUGAAAUAUACGACCAAAUGAAUAUCAAUAUCAAUUGUGGUGUCCGAUGCCUAAAAUUGAACGAUGAUGACGAUGGCGAAGAAAAAAAGAAGUAAAAUUUUCUUUGGAUUCGAUCAUUGAUCCGUCUUGGCGACAAGCCCGAUGAAAAACAGGAUGCGACUGGAACCGGACGUAACGAGUUUGGCAUACAUAAACAGUUCCAGAAACGAAGGAAACAUCUCGGUUAUUAUCAUUGUCGUAUUGCAAUGAUUUAUACCUUAUUAGCAUCAAAAUAAUAUUGUUUGGCACACUUUUUCAAAUCAACUGUUAAAAUAAUCAUUGUAACAGGUACUCAGAUAGCAACGUAUCUGUCUUGUUGCUGGCAUAUUGCUUAACAAUAAACAUGUGUUGCUACUA
Long non-coding RNA from Acromyrmex echinatior (Panamanian leafcutter ant), 531 nucleotides. The record is from RefSeq and is a predicted model, not a curated record. Lineage: Eukaryota; Metazoa; Arthropoda; Insecta; Hymenoptera; Formicidae.